UUUUAUGUUAUUUUUUAGAUUUGUAAGCAAGUAAACAGCUAAUGUGAAAAUGUUGAUGUCUAUUCUAAGCACUCCUUACGUAUCUGAUAUUUUAUCUUACUGACAUCUUAUUUCCCUGCUAAAUAGAUGUUGUACAAUAUAUUAGGAAGCUCCUGACAGAACAGGAAGAGAAGAGAGGCGAGAAGACUGCCACAUAGGAAAGGAAAGCUAAGCACAUGUUCUGUCAGUACCACUGCAGAUGUAACGGGCGCUCUAGCAGCCUCCAGUCACCCUUCAGAGAUGUUAGUCCUGCUGUGAGAAGAAUGUACCUCUGGAGACUACAAAGUUCCAAAAGUUUAGACUAAAACAAACUUAAACAUCCCUCAAAGAGUAACUAGGUUUUCAGAAACAAAUACAUUUUCACUGCUGCAACCCCACCUGUAUGUUCAGAAAAAAACAAUGGACAAAUGGGAACAAGGUAACUGUCAAAUUGUACAGGUGAACUCUUCAAAAUGCAGCCACUCCCUCUGCUGGCUGACGGGAAGAAGAGUGGCGGAAAGCUGCAGCGCCAUCUUGUCCCAAGCUCAGCACUAGACCUCAGGAACCCAAACCAUGGGAAGCAGCAGGGGCAGAAAAAGAGGAGCACCGGUGCAUACAGAGCAGCCGCUCAGGCGGGGUGGAGAGGGAUCCCCACGGCCUGUGAAGUGAUGGGGUCAGGCACUCUGGAGUACAGACCAUGGACCACAGCAGUGGUGGUGCGAAGUGAGAAACAGGCCAGGGAGGUUGCUUCCCCACCCUCUCCCUCAGUCUCCUAGCACUCACUUUCAGCCAUGGCACAAAGAGGGCAGCCUCUUUGGCCUGCACCCCCUGGGAGAGAGCGGCAGGGAACCCAGCUUCUCCAAGGGAAGCGGCAGGCAGGAAGCAGCCUCUGGCUCAGUGCAGAGGCUCACUCCCCCUGAGAGAAAAUCGCCCCUCUCAAGAAUUUGCUUCUGGUAAGCUCCCCAAAUAAGGGAAUUUUGGCUGGGGCCGCGCUAACAGCACCUCGAGGCCUGAGCUGCAUGGGUCUUCCACUGCAGUGUCAUUCUCAUCCAUCAGUUGCCCUCGUGCCACACAUAAGGCACCUCGAAUGGCAGAGAGGGCAUGCUUAGGGCCAGCCUUUGGGGUCCCGGAUCCCCAGCUGGCUGCCCAGGCCCCGAGUCUGCCCCACCUACAGGGUUCUAAGGCAGCAGGCUAGAUCUUUAGUGGCUAUAGACUUCUGGCCCCCUGUAUAGCUCCACCAUUGCUGCUGCCACGGGUCUCACACUUAGUGAUGGCUCCAUAGGUGAGGCCAACCCUAAGGAGGGGGUGGCUGCAGGUGCCCCUUUCCCCUUGGUCAGUACACAGAGGGUGCAGGAAUCUAGUGCUGCACUCAGACAGGGACUCAUACUGUUCAGUGACUCCCAGCAGCAAGGGGCAUGGACAGAGAGGCACUCACUCAGUUUGGCCGUGGAGAAGAGCCCCAGACGAGGAGCCACACAGACUCUGCACGCCAUUAGGUCUUACUUCCUGGCUCCAUUUGUUACCUCCUGGCUCCUAGCUCCUGGCUCUGCUGGUUAGCUCCUGGUUGGCUCGCCAAAACUAUUGCCAUACAGUGUGGGGGUCAGCAGUCUUUUCAUGGCUCUUGUUGUCCCACUCAAAGAAUAGGACAGGAAAAACCAAUGAAUAUGAAAGUUUAACUUUUAUUAAAGAUUAAAGAAGAAAAGAAAUAGAAGUGAAAAGAAAGAAAAUAUGUCCUGCAUGCAGAGCAGGUUACUUGAAGAGUAAGAAGACAGUGGCCAUAAGGCCAAUGCUACUGUCUUUUAUAUCCUCCUUCUGGCCCUUUGGAAGCUGUUUCGUGCCAUAAUUUGUCAGCUCUCCAUGAUUGGCAGGGUACAUCCUAUCAUCCAGCCUCCUUUCUGUGUCCUAAUUUCCUGCCUCAAUCUUGUUACUACCCUUGAAUCAAAUGGAUAAGUUUUUCAAGGAUGUCUAUUUUGGAAAGGAGAAGAGUUUGCCUGAAAAAAGAACAUUCAAGGAGUGAUAAAUUUUAAUCACUCCCUGAUUUUCUUGUCCCCUCUAGCUAUCCCAGUCUUGGAACCAUCACAACAAAAUGGCACUGCCUUUCACAAACCUGGUCCUUUCACCAUCCUUUUAUUCUCUUUCUCACUUCCUUCAUCCAAUGUUGUUGUUUUCAAAAUAUAGUAGACUCUGCUCUUAAAACACUUCUGAUCUGUCUUCUUGUCUUCUUAUGCACUCCUCACACAGGAUUGGCCCCUACCCCUCAGAAACUCCCCAUACAUAAGCGUACAGGUUGUUCAUUACUUCCUGGACAUCUUGAGGUAAACAGGUCUCCUUCACCUCAUACUCCUCCAUGAUGUGCUGAUCUGCCACAGGUUCAAAUAAACAAGACCAAGUGACCAUGGACUGAAGCCUCUGAGACUGAGAGCGGUGCCACCUUGCCCUCGCAUAAACACCAAAUCCUCAUGGGGCACAUAGGCCAAUAUCUGGACUGUCUGGGGAUCAUAAAUAAUACUGAGUCUCACUGUCAAAGAACUGGACACUGGGACAAAAAAGCUGCAAGCCCUAACAGAGAAGCCAAGCAAACAAAAAAUGAGAAAACAAAGCAACAAAAAUGGCUUUUAAAACUCCCAACUCCCCUAAAGCCAGCCCAAGGGGGUAUAAGGGUAGAAAAUCAUAAGUCACACAGCAGAAAUGCCUGAAAGGCAUCAAUGGAAAUAACAAAACAGUUCAAAAAAGUUCAGUGAAUUCAAAUAUAUAUAUAACUAAACAGAUAAUGACCCAAAUGAAAUAAAUUAUCAGCAAUCCUAGAGAAGACAGUAAUAAAAAUCUAGUGGAGCUAAAGAAAGAAAUGCAAAACAUGAAUUUCCAGCAUAGACAAGAAUGGCACUCCACAAAAAAGUUUCAAGUAGAAAUCCAGGAGAUUGAAAGUAUGAUUGGAUGUCUAGGCAGCAGAAGAGACCAAUAUGAGGACAGAGUCUCAGAUCUAGAAGACAGGACUGUGGUUAGUGGUCAAUUAAUGAAAGAUAUAUUACAAACAAGAGAAGAUGAAAAAUGGAUCCAACAGCUGCUAGAUGACUCAAAGAAGAUUAAUAUAAAAGUAACCAGAAUUAAUGAAAAAUCAGAAGAUAGCACCCGUUUACAGAAGUAAUAUCAGAAAACUUUCCAGACAUGGAAAAAGAAUUUAACAUACAAAUGUGUGAGAUAUAUAGAGCUCCUAAUAGUCAUGAUCAGGAAAAAAACACCCUGCACCACAUAAUAAUUAAAAUAUCAGAAAUCUAACAUAAGAACAGAAUCUUGAAAGCUGUUAGAGAAAAGCAACAAAUUACGUAUGAAGAAAAACCCAUCAGAAUUACAACAUGUUUCUCAACAUGAACCUUAAAGGCAAGGAGCGCUUGGAAUGAAGUGCUUCAAGCCCCCAAAGAAAACUCCUGCCAUCUUUCAAAAUGAUGGGGAAAUAAGACAUUUCCACGAUAAAGAACACCUAAAGAAAUUCAUGGCCACCAAACCAACACUCCAAAA
Long non-coding RNA from Chinchilla lanigera (long-tailed chinchilla), 3534 nucleotides. RefSeq lists it as uncharacterized. The transcript is spliced from 3 exons. NCBI's taxonomy places the organism in Eukaryota, Metazoa, Chordata, Mammalia, Rodentia, Chinchillidae. The record is from RefSeq and is a predicted model, not a curated record.